This 253-nucleotide ribosomal RNA is filed under the name uncultured bacterium. Its description in RNAcentral is "partial 16S ribosomal RNA". It matches the Rfam family "Bacterial small subunit ribosomal RNA", at positions 524 to 776 of the family's 1533-position model. The record is from RNAcentral.
UACAGAGGCCUCAAGCGUUGUUCGGAAUCACUGGGCGUAAAGGGUGCGUAGGCCGCACGGUAAGUCAGAUGUGAAAUCUCAGGGCUCAACUCUGAAAUUGCAUCCGAUACUGCCGUGCUUGAGGACUGGAGAGGAGUCUGGAAUUCAUGGUGGAGCAGUGAAAUGCGUAGAUAUCAUGAGGAACGCUAGUGGCGUAGGCGAGACUCUGGACAGUUCCUGACGCUGAGGCACGAAGGCCAGGGGAGCAAACGGG